UAUCUCUCUUAGGUUCUUCUUUGUGUACAAAAAUAAAUCGCCUUUCCCAAGGUUCUGCAAGUCUGACCCUAAGGGAGAAAAAAGGGAACCAGAAAUGAUAAAAGCGUCACACCGCCCUGACUCAGUCUCCUGGUUCCCUCCCAGAGCGACCAGUCAUUCAGGCCCAGGCAGGAGGAAGCCAGGGCACCCACCGACCACGCUGGCGUUUGCCUCAGGCGGGAAGGCAAGCGCUCGGAGACCCCCGCCCUGGACGUCGCUUACUGACUGCAACAGCCCUCCCUGGAUGAGUGGAAGUCCGUAGAAAGUCCAGAAAACACCAGGUAACCCCCUCAAAACCAUCACUCAGGUAAAAACGGACACAUCUGAGGACUUUUCAGGACCGACCCACACCUUUUACAGCUGCUUCUGAUUGGAGUCUUGCUUCAUGAACAAAAUCCGGUAAGCUCAACAGUGCAAGUAAUUCCAACCCUGAGAGCACGCUAGCUCGCUUCUCCCUGGGAACAUGGAAGCAUUGUUCAGCAUGAUGCCAUUCAGUGCAACCCAGGUAAAUCACAGCCAAUCAACAAACUAUUGCAAUUCUACCGAAUUCAUAGGCCUGGAGAUGUGAACCUUAAUCAAAUCUAACUCUGGACUUAAGCUUUGAAUGUAUUAGAGGAGAAACAAGUGAAUAAGUACGAGAGAGGGGGAGUUUGGGGCAGUUGCGUGGAAGAGGGAGAAGGUGUGUCGGGCAGAGUCGUGCAGAAUGGACAUGGACUGGAAGGGCUGCAGCGCUGUCCCGGGGAAGCUGACUCAGAAGAUGCAUGUGGGAGCUGAAAACAGACUGAGCCCCAAUUUGUGAUCCCCUGAGUAGCCCCGCUCACAGGUAUGAGCCAGAUUUGGGAUGAGCUAUUUCAGGUUAUUCCCAGUGUACAGCAAGUGCUGCCGGAGUUGUGGAUUUGUUUGUGGCUUAGUUUUGUCUUGUUUUUGGUGGCUUUGAGUCCAGAGCUGGAGACCGGGCCCCACACACUGGAUCACCUGCUGGACCAUUGAUUGGCACCUCACCAGGGCUCCCGUGCACAGAAACAGGAGCGAGUCUCUUCUGCAGCCCUGUUAAGUAUAAAGCAGGGAGACACUGUAAAAAUAUAAGAUGAGUAAUCACACAGCGAGACAUCGUAAACUCAACCCUAACAAGAUUCUCAGACGUCGGUGCUUGGGAGGCACAACUGGGGAGCCGUCAACAGUAGGGAUCUGGGCCUGUUGGGAUAUAUUACCAUGACAGUCGGGGAGCACCCUCUGGGGCUGGGGCCACAGGAGCAGGAAGCUGAGGCCGGAGCAGAGCCGGCGUACUGACCAGGGCUCUUCAGAGAAACCGAGUCAGUCGGGGGGCAGAAGUGGCUCCCCGGAUUUCGGGGACUGGGGACUCGCAGGUCUGUGGGGCGGGCGCCCAGCGGGAGAGCCAGUGAUUCAAGGCUCAGGCCCGGGUGCCCCAGGCUGCACCCUGGUGACUUCGGAGGUCAGUCUACACUGCUGCCUCGGGCUGUAGGGACCCAUGCCACAGGGGCUCCUGAGACCCUAGGGACUUCCUCUCCCAUGUCCCUCUCCACUCUGAGGCCACACCUGGACUCCUCGGGCUGCCAGUGCGGCGUCAGCGUGCAAUUCCAGUUGAGAGAUUUACAAUCAGACGAGCCCAGGCAUGUGGCCUGGCGUGUGGUAGGUGGUGGAUGGUGUUAGCACCAGAGCCUGCAGCAGGAGUGGGGGCUGCGUGUCCUUCGGACUUUCAUUGCAAUGAGAAGGUGUCCCGGUCCGGCUCUCUGCCUGGGUCCUGCUGUGCAGGUCCUCAGAGGUCAGAGGCUGGCGGGUGGGGAUGAUGCAGGACACCCAGGGCCUCCGCCAACGCAUCAGCAUGGCUCCGACCCAUGCUGAACCUUUUUACAUCAGCAAAGCGCACAGGUCAGGCCCAGACAGGAGCAGAGCUCGGGCAGCUAGCCGGGACCGGGCAGUAGCCCAGAUGUAGCCCUGGCCAGAGCUCAGCCUUGGAUACAAGGAAGAAUUUGAAUGUAGUCAAUUUAACUCUAAAUAGACAGCAUGCAUUUGGGGCACAUCUAAGUCGGGGUGGUCUUCUCACCUGACAAGGGAGCAGCCAUACAUCUCCAUGGACACACGUGCUGGGCACAAGAUGCCCUGCCGUGCCCCCGGUGUGCGGCAGGGCUGACGAAUGCUUUCUCAGCACUGACUCCUGCCUCGACCCGGAGGGCAGCACCAGAAGACAGAAGGUCGGUCUUGCCACAGCCCUCGUGUGACCGUGACUGCAGCCUGCCCGCCUGGCACCCUGGAGCACAGAGCCAGGGGAGCUGGGUCCUACCGGGGCAGGAGGCAGGGCUGACGGGGAAAAGGCCCAGCCAGAGGUCCGUUACCAUCCUGUCCUGCCUGAUUUCCACCCUAAGGGGCCUGGAGCUCUGCCUGGCUCCGGUUCACCUUCCUCACUGCCACCUCAGGGCCCUGGGUCUCCUGCGGGCAGCCUGGGCCUCUCAGGGCUCACAAUCAUCAGCCAGAGAUCAAGGGCCACAGGGGCUCAGGCAGGGCUGCCCGGCCAAUGCUGUGCUCUGAACCCGGACAGCAUGGCCCGGCCGUGCUCCUGGGACUCCGCGCCUGCUCCUGGACAGUGCCGCUCUGCGUGCCUCUGUGGUUUUGCUGCAGACCCAGACUGGCUUGGUGGAGUCUGGCAACUGCCCCUUCGCAGCCAGGUGACCCCGGCAGGGCAGGCCGUGUGACCUCUCCGUACCUCCAUUCUGUCAUCUGUCGAUCACUGUUCGCAUGAACAGAUCCGCCAGCCAGCCCGGCAGGGGAGCCUGCAGCUCAGGGCCCAGCCCAGGUGGGCAGGUCCUGGGGUAUCUUGGGGGUCGCCUAAGGCCAGCGCUGGCAUGAUGGGGAGAAUCCGCUGCAAAGCCCUGCAGACAGGAGGGGCUGUGGCACCACUGUUGGACGGAUCCAGGCGGGGGGCUGCCCUUCGUUCCCAGCUCCAGGGAAAGG
Molecule: long non-coding RNA, 3009 nt
Filed under: Heterocephalus glaber (naked mole-rat)
Lineage: Eukaryota; Metazoa; Chordata; Mammalia; Rodentia; Bathyergidae
Description: lncRNA (ENSHGLG00100044725.1)
Source: RNAcentral